Molecule: ribosomal RNA, 301 nt
Filed under: uncultured bacterium
Lineage: Bacteria
Description: partial 16S ribosomal RNA
Rfam family: Bacterial small subunit ribosomal RNA
Source: RNAcentral
CAGUAGCCGCGGGAAUACAGAGGAUGCAAGCGUUAUCCGGAAUGAUUGGGCGUAAAGCGUCUGUAGGUGGCCUUUCAAGUCCGCCGUCAAAUCCCAGGGCUCAACCCUGGACAGGCGGUGGAAACUACCAAGCUGGAGUACGGUAGGGGCAGAGGGAAUUUCGCGUGUAGCAGUGAAAUGCGUAGAUAUGCGGAGGAACACCGAUGGCGAAGGCAAUCCCCUGGACCUGUACUGACGCUCAUGCACGAAAGCGUGGGGAGCAAACAGGAUUAGAUACCCCUGUAGUCCCUGUCUCUUAUAC